Molecule: ribosomal RNA, 460 nt
Filed under: uncultured bacterium
Lineage: Bacteria
Description: partial 16S ribosomal RNA
Rfam family: Bacterial small subunit ribosomal RNA
Source: RNAcentral
CCUACGGGAGGCAGCAGUGAGGAAUAUUGGUCAAUGGGCGCGAGCCUGAACCAGCCAAGUCGCGUGAAGGAUGACUGCCCUACGGGUUGUACACUUCUUUUACAAAGGAGUAAAGUGACGCACGUCUGCCUUUUUGUAUGUACUUUACGAAUAAGGAUCGGCCAACUCCGGGCCAGCAGCCGCGGUAAUACGGAGGAUCCGAGCGUUAUCCGGAUUUAUUGGGUUUAAAGGGAGCGUAGAUGGGUUGGUAAGUCAGUUGUGAAAGUUUGCGGCUCAACCGUAAAAUUGCAAUUGAUACUGGCAGUCUUGAGUGCAGUAGAGGUAGGCGGAAUUCGUGGUGUAGCGGUGAAAUGCUUAGAUAUCACGAAGAACUCCGAUUGCGAAGGCAGCUUACUAGACUGCAACUGACGUUGAUGCUCGAAAGUGUGGGUAUCAAACAGGAUUAGAUACCCGUGUAGUC